Molecule: non-coding RNA, 87 nt
Organism: Gossypium raimondii (Peruvian cotton)
Lineage: Eukaryota; Viridiplantae; Streptophyta; Magnoliopsida; Malvales; Malvaceae
Source: Rfam
CUCAAGGAAGCGCUUUGUCCACGUGGACAGAAAAGGCGUCAUUGAGGGCACGCUUUCUGUCCACGUGGGCAAAGCGCUUUCUUGAGG